UCAGGGGCAACCAAGCGAGCGUUCAGUCGCUUUACACCACCGUGAACCGGCCCGAAAAUUUCCACUACAUGCACCACGAGAUGGCUUACCCACAUGGCUUCUACGACCCCGGAAACCGUAGUCGUCGAGGCUCGCUGACCCUGGGCAUGCCGAGCGAGUUCGACGUUAGCUCCACCGUCGAACUGGUGCCGUCGUCAGCCGCAGGCGUAGCGGCCAGCGUCAACCGCUCGUCGCUGGCAUGGCCGUUUUCACCCGCCGGGACCCCUGCAGCACUAGCCGUAGGUCACUACGAACACGGCCAACCUCGGAGAGAGGCCUGGAUUACGUCCGCCUUCAAAGGACUUCGGGCCGUGGGCACAGAGAGCGUGGCCGCUGUCGUCUCCACUGUGGUCCUGUGCUUCUUCACAGGGCUCGCGAUAUGGCUUUUGUCAACGGCUCAUGACCAAUGGGACGACAGUGGUUUAGACGCGGUGGACGACGCAGAUGCGGGCCUGCACUUGGAUUUGUACGGUGCGCCACCUUCGCCGCCUGUUGCCGGGAUUCACGAGAUGCUCACGAGUGAGUGGAAGAUAACAGUAGGAACCAGGCGACCGAGAAGCAGUAAGCGUGCUUUGAUGUCAACAAAGGUGCUCUCUGACGUGGCGCUGAAAAGCCGGGUGCCCCCCUGGACCGAAGAUAACGCUGAAAGCCGCGCUAGUACUGUGGAUGGCGGCGGCGAUGACAGCGAUGAAUCGAAGGCGCCGAGGACCUCAACAACUGACGACGACGCUGUGACUAUUGCUUCCAAGCGCACCCGUGUCAGGCGACGACCUGACACGGGCAGUUCGGCAAAACGCGUGAAGUGAUCCCAUCGGGUUCGCCAGCGUGAAGUUCGACUCUGAUGCUCCACACAGAGGACGAGGCCCCUUACAAAUAUAUCUGAGCCGGCAUUUGCA
Molecule: long non-coding RNA, 935 nt
Organism: Dermacentor albipictus
Lineage: Eukaryota; Metazoa; Arthropoda; Arachnida; Ixodida; Ixodidae
Source: RefSeq, a predicted model, not a curated record